UACAGAGGGUGCAAGCGUUAAUCGGAAUUACUGGGCGUAAAGCGUGCGCAGGCGGUCUGCUAAGACAGGUGUGAAAUCCCCGGGCUUAACCUGGGAACUGCGCUUGUUACUGGCAGGCUGGAGUGUGGCAGAGGGGGGUGGAAUUCCACGUGUAGCAGUGAAAUGCGUAGAGAUGUGGAGGAACACCGAUGGCGAAGGCAGCCCCCUGGGCUAACACUGACGCUCAUGCACGAAAGCGUGGGGAGCAAACAGG
This 253-nucleotide ribosomal RNA is filed under the name uncultured bacterium. RNAcentral describes it as "partial 16S ribosomal RNA". It matches the Rfam family "Bacterial small subunit ribosomal RNA", at positions 524 to 776 of the family's 1533-position model. The record is from RNAcentral.